GACGAACGCUGGCGGCGUGCUUAACACAUGCAAGUCGAACGGAAAGGCCCUGCUUUUGUGGGGUGCUCGAGUGGCGAACGGGUGAGUAACACGUGAGUAACCUGCCCUUGACUUUGGGAUAACUUCAGGAAACUGGGGAUAAUACCGGAUAGGAGCUCCUGCUGCAUGGAGGGGGUUGGAAAGUUUCGGCGGUUGGGGAUGGACUCGCGGCUUAUCAGCUUGUUGGUGGGGUAGUGGCUUACCAAGGCUUUGACGGGUAGCCGGCCUGAGAGGGUGACCGGCCCCAUUGGGACUAAGAUACGGCCCAGACUCGUACGGUGGGCAGAAGUGGGAAAUAUUGCACAAUGGGGGGAAGCCUGAUGCGGCGGCGCCGCGUGCGUGAUGACGGCCUUCGGGGUGUAAACCGCUUUCGCCUGUGACGAAGCGUGAGUGACGGUAAUGUAUAAAGAAGCACCGGCUAACUACGUG
Molecule: ribosomal RNA, 468 nt
Filed under: uncultured bacterium
Lineage: Bacteria
Description: partial 16S ribosomal RNA
Rfam family: Bacterial small subunit ribosomal RNA
Source: RNAcentral